Molecule: ribosomal RNA, 1345 nt
Filed under: uncultured bacterium
Lineage: Bacteria
Description: partial 16S ribosomal RNA
Rfam family: Bacterial small subunit ribosomal RNA
Source: RNAcentral
GACGAACGCUGGCGGCGUGCUUAACACAUGCAAGUCGAACGGAAAGGCCCUGCUUUUGUGGGGUGCUCGAGUGGCGAACGGGUGAGUAACACGUGAGUAACCUGCCCUUGACUUUGGGAUAACUUCAGGAAACUGGGGCUAAUACCGGAUAGGAGCUCCUGCUGCAUGGUGGGGGUUGGAAAGUUUCGGCGGUUGGGGAUGGACUCGCGGCUUAUCAGCUUGUUGGUGGGGUAGUGGCUUACCAAGGCUUUGACGGGUAGCCGGCCUGAGAGGGUGACCGGCCACAUUGGGACUGAGAUACGGCCCAGACUCCUACGGGAGGCAGCAGUGGGGAAUAUUGCACAAUGGGCGGAAGCCUGAUGCAGCAACGCCGCGUGCGGGAUGACGGCCUUCGGGUUGUAAACCGCUUUCGCCUGUGACGAAGCGUGAGUGACGGUAAUGGGUAAAGAAGCACCGGCUAACUACGUGCCAGCAGCCGCGGUGAUACGUAGGGUGCGAGCGUUGUCCGGAUUUAUUGGGCGUAAAGGGCUCGUAGGUGGUUGAUCGCGUCGGAAGUGUAAUCUUGGGGCUUAACCCUGAGCGUGCUUUCGAUACGGGUUGACUUGAGGAAGGUAGGGGGGAAUGGAAUUCCUGGUGGAGCGGUGGAAUGCGCAGAUAUCAGGAGGAACACCAGUGGCGAAGGCGGUUCUCUGGGCCUUUCCUGACGCUGAGGAGCGAAAGCGUGGGGAGCGAACAGGCUUAGAUACCCUGGUAGUCCACGCUGUAAACGGUGGGUACUAGGUGUGGGGUCCAUUCCACGGGUUCCGUGCCGUAGCUAACGCUUUAAGUACCCCGCCUGGGGAGUACGGCCGCAAGGCUAAAACUCAAAGGAAUUGACGGGGCCCCGCACAAGCGGCGGAGCAUGCGGAUUAAUUCGAUGCAACGCGUAGAACCUUACCUGGGUUUGACAUGGAUCGGGAGUGCUCAGAGAUGGGUGUGCCUCUUUUGGGGUCGGUUCACAGGUGGUGCAUGGCUGUCGUCAGCUCGUGUCGUGAGAUGUUGGGUUAAGUCCCGCAACGAGCGCAACCCUUGUUCACUGUUGCCAGCACGUUAUGGUGGGGACUCAGUGGAGACCGCCGGGGUCAACUCGGAGGAAGGUGGGGAUGACGUCAAGUCAUCAUGCCCCUUAUGUCCAGGGCUUCACGCAUGCUACAAUGGCUGGUACAGAGAGUGGCGAGCCUGUGAGGGUGAGCGAAUCUCGGAAAGCCGGUCUCAGUUCGGAUUGGGGUCUGCAACUCGACCUCAUGAAGUCGGAGUCGCUAGUAAUCGCAGAUCAGCAACGCUGCGGAAAUACGUUCCCGGGGCU